UACGUAGGGGGCAAGCGUUGUCCGUAAUCAUUGGGCGUAAAGAGCGUGUAGGCGGCCCGAUAAGUCCGCCGUGAAAGUCCAGGGCUCAACCCUGGGAUGCCGGUGGAAACUGUCGGGCUAGAGUCCGGAAGAGGCGAGUGGAAUUCCUGGUGUAGCGGUGAAAUGCGCAGAUAUCAGGAGGAACACCAAUGGCGAAGGCAGCUCGCUGGGACGGUACUGACGCUGAGACGCGAAAGCGUGGGGAGCAAACAGG
RNAcentral lists this ribosomal RNA (253 nucleotides) under uncultured bacterium. Its description in RNAcentral is "partial 16S ribosomal RNA". It matches the Rfam family "Bacterial small subunit ribosomal RNA", at positions 524 to 776 of the family's 1533-position model. The record is from RNAcentral.